Non-coding RNA from Schistocerca americana (American grasshopper), 73 nucleotides. NCBI's taxonomy places the organism in Eukaryota, Metazoa, Arthropoda, Insecta, Orthoptera, Acrididae. The record is from the annotation of a RefSeq genome assembly.
GUCCGGAUGGUUCAGUGGUCAGAGCAUCUGCCUAGUAAGCAGGAGACACGUGUUCGAAUCCCGGUCUGGCACA